RNAcentral lists this ribosomal RNA (252 nucleotides) under uncultured bacterium. Its description in RNAcentral is "partial 16S ribosomal RNA". It matches the Rfam family "Bacterial small subunit ribosomal RNA", at positions 524 to 776 of the family's 1533-position model. The record is from RNAcentral.
UACGUAGGUCCCGAGCGUUGUCCGGAUUUAUUGGGCGUAAAGCGAGCGCAGGUGGUUUAAUAAGUCUGAUGUAAAAGGCAGUGGCUCAACCAUUGUGUGCAUUGGAAACUGUUAGACUUGAGUGCAGUAGAGGAGAGUGGAAUUCCAUGUGUAGCGGUGAAAUGCGUAGAUAUAUGGAGGAACACCAGUGGCGAAGGCGACUUUCUGGUCUGUAACUGACGCCGAUGUGCGAAAGCGUGGGGAUCAAACAGG